This 487-nucleotide ribosomal RNA is filed under the name uncultured Desulfobulbus sp. RNAcentral describes it as "bacterial SSU rRNA". It matches the Rfam family "Bacterial small subunit ribosomal RNA", at positions 900 to 1382 of the family's 1533-position model. The record is from RNAcentral. Lineage: Bacteria; Pseudomonadati; Thermodesulfobacteriota; Desulfobulbia; Desulfobulbales; Desulfobulbaceae.
CUUAAAGGAAUUGACGGGGCCCGCACAAGCGGUGGAGUAUGUGGUUUAAUUCGAUGCAACGCGAAGAACCUUACCUGGUCUUGACAUCCCGGAGACCCUUAGGAAACUAGGGGGUGCUUCCAUCUGGAAGAAUCUGGAGACAGGUGCUGCAUGGCUGUCGUCAGCUCGUGUCGUGAGAUGUUGGGUUAAGUCCCGCAACGAGCGCAACCCUUGCCUUUAGUUGCCAGCAGUUCGGCUGGGCACUCUAAAGGGACUGCCGGUGUUAAACCGGAGGAAGGUGGGGAUGACGUCAAGUCCUCAUGGCCUUUAUGACCAGGGCUACACACGUACUACAAUGGCCGAUACAAAGGGCAGCGACACUGCGAGGUGAAGCCAAUCCCGUAAAAUCGGUCUCAGUCCGGAUUGGAGUCUGCAACUCGACUCCAUGAAGUUGGAAUCGCUAGUAAUCGUGGAUCAGCAUGCCACGGUGAAUACGUUCCCGGGCCUU